Long non-coding RNA from Vidua chalybeata, 953 nucleotides. RefSeq lists it as uncharacterized. NCBI's taxonomy places the organism in Eukaryota, Metazoa, Chordata, Aves, Passeriformes, Viduidae. The record is from RefSeq and is a predicted model, not a curated record. The transcript is spliced from 2 exons.
AGCGCUCCCGGCCCGGCCGCCCCGCUCCGCCACCCCCGAGCCCGCGGCGGGGGCCGGAGCCGAGUUCGGCGCCUGCCGUUUCUGCUCCGGCUUCUGCCGGGGCGGGCCGGGGAUCGAUCGGGCACGGUCCCGCUCCGCAUGCGGGGAGCCGGGGCCGUGCCGGGGCCCGGCAGGACGGCAGCAGCGGUGUUUCCCGGGUGCCCGCGAUGUUCCGGGAGCCAGAGCGGCCGCUGUCUGUCCCUCCACGUGCCCGCCCUCGGUGGCCCCACGAGCACACCUGGCCUAGGAGGUGGCCCUGACCGCGCCGUGGGUCCCCGCUCUGCCUUCAGCGUUUCCUGCCCUUCGUGCCUUCGGAACUUAGGGAGUUUCGAACAGCGACUUUUUCCCUGCCACCAAUAAGGUGCAGCUCAUCUGACAGCUGCCAGUCGGGGAAGGUCCUGCCUGGGAUGGAAAUGGCUAAAAAAGAGAAAACUUAAAAAUGGCAAAACCAGAUGCUGCCACGUGAGUCAAAGCAGGGAAAGCCUCGGGAUGUCCAAGGUUUGUUUUAUUGUCACGUCUGAAACCUCUGCUAAUGCCAGUGCCACCCUUAUUUCCCCCGAGGGACCCCCCAGGGCUGCCAGGAUGUUCCCAGAAUUGCAUCUUUGGGGCCCCCAUCCCCUCACAGCAUUCAAUGGCUCCAUCCUGGGGACUUCUCACAGGGGAGCAGCGAUUGCACAUGAAACUUGGAUGACCACUGAGAAAUGAGAGAGACCUGUGAUAAAAAACCUUUUCUUAAUAAGAUCAACAGUUUCUCUACAGCAGUUGAGCAGCUUCGAUAUCCAUACGACACAGCAUCUAAUUCCAUCUCCUGAUUUGAUCUUGGCAAAAGGAAGAGUCACCUGCCCUCAGUGUAAAUAUUUAGUACACAAAAUACUGUCAAGAAACCCACUUUUAAUAAAUAUCUGUAGCUCUCA